AUGCAUUGGUCUGAGAAGCCUAUCAGCUGGAGCCGGGCCGAUCACCCAGAGGUGAUGCCGUCUCCCGGCUCUUAUGCAUUGGUAUUGGACGCCACCCUCGCGACAGAAAGGCGAGCUGCCCGUUUCUCCGGAGUACUGAUUGACGGAGGGAGCAGCAUCAACAUACUGUACCGUGACACCAUGGAGAAGCUGAACAUCAAGACGAAGCAACUCAUGCCAAGCCAGACUGUGUUCCAUGGCAUCAUACCCGGCCUGUCCUGCUCACCAAUCGGCAAGAUCAAGAUAGAUGUUCUCUUUGGAGACAAGGAUCACUUCCGCUGA
RNAcentral lists this ribosomal RNA (321 nucleotides) under Triticum aestivum (bread wheat). RNAcentral's name for it is "partial small subunit ribosomal RNA". Lineage: Eukaryota; Viridiplantae; Streptophyta; Magnoliopsida; Poales; Poaceae. The record is from RNAcentral.